This is a long non-coding RNA of Thamnophis elegans (Western terrestrial garter snake), 157 nucleotides long. RefSeq lists it as uncharacterized. NCBI's taxonomy places the organism in Eukaryota, Metazoa, Chordata, Lepidosauria, Squamata, Natricidae. The record is from RefSeq and is a predicted model, not a curated record. The transcript is spliced from 2 exons.
CUUGGAACCUCAGAACUAGCUCAGAAGUGGGCUUCUAUGACAUGGCGACUCUUUGUGGGGACUUAUCCUCAGAAAAAGGCGCUCAGUAGCAGGCUCCACCCCUCCAGGAUGUCAUCACGUCCGUUUUUGAUGCUCUGCACCCGCACUCACAUUACAA